GAAUGCUGACAUAAGUAACGAUAAAGCGGGUGAAAAGCCCGCUCGCCGGAAGACCAAGGGUUCCUGUCCAACGUUAAUCGGGGCAGGGUGAGUCGACCCCUAAGGCGAGGCCGAAAGGCGUAGUCGAUGGGAAACGGGUUAAUAUUCCCGUACUUGGUGUUACUGCGAAGGGGGGACGGAGAAGGCUAUGUUGGCCGGGCGACGGUUGUCCCGGUUUAAGCGUGUAGGUGUGUGUUCCAGGUAAAUCCGGUUCACUUUAACACUGAGGCGUGACGACGAGGCACUACGGUGCUGAAGCAACAAAUGCCCUGCUUCCAGGAAAAGCCUCUAAGCAUCAGGUAACAUCAAAUCGUACCCCAAACCGACACAGGUGGUCAGGUAGAGAAUACCAAGGCGCUUGAGAGAACUCGGGUGAAGGAACUAGGCAAAAUGGUGCCGUAACUUCGGGAGAAGGCACGCUGACACGUAGGUGAAGUGAUUUACUCAUGGAGCUGAAGUCAGUCGAAGAUACCAGCUGGCUGCAACUGUUUAUUAAAAACACAGCACUGUGCAAACACGAAAGUGGACGUAUACGGUGUGACGCCUGCCCGGUGCCGGAAGGUUAAUUGAUGGGGUCAGCGCAAGCGAAGCUCCUGAUCGAAGCCCCGGUAAACGGCGGCCGUAACUAUAACGGUCCUAAGGUAGCGAAAUUCCUUGUCGGGUAAGUUCCGACCUGCACGAAUGGCGUAAUGAUGGCCAGGCUGUCUCCACCCGAGACUCAGUGAAAUUGAACUCGCUGUGAAGAUGCAGUGUACCCGCGGCAAGACGGAAAGACCCCGUGAACCUUUACUAUAGCUUGACACUGAACAUUGAGCCUUGAUGUGUAGGAUAGGUGGGAGGCUUUGAAGUGUGGACGCCAGUCUGCAUGGAGCCGACCUUGAAAUACCACCCUUUAAUGUUUGAUGUUCUAACGUGGACCCGUUACCCGGGUUGCGGACAGUGUCUGGUGGGUAGUUUGACUGGGGCGGUCUCCUCCUAAAGAGUAACGGAGGAGCACGAAGGUUGGCUAAUCCUGGUCGGACAUCAGGAGGUUAGUGCAAUGGCAUAAGCCAGCUUGACUGCGAGCGUGACGGCGCGAGCAGG
This 1122-nucleotide ribosomal RNA is filed under the name Salmonella enterica. RNAcentral describes it as "partial 23S ribosomal RNA". It matches the Rfam family "Bacterial large subunit ribosomal RNA", at positions 1292 to 2397 of the family's 2925-position model. Lineage: Bacteria; Pseudomonadati; Pseudomonadota; Gammaproteobacteria; Enterobacterales; Enterobacteriaceae. The record is from RNAcentral.